GGGAAAGUCUUACACGACCAGCUCCCUUCGAAUUCCCCCAGGGCUUGAUCGCAGCAAGGGUAGAAGGUCGUAGCGGUGCGAUGUAAUCAGCUUUCCCUUU
This 100-nucleotide signal recognition particle RNA is filed under the name Bacteroidales bacterium. Its description in RNAcentral is "signal recognition particle sRNA small type". It matches the Rfam family "Bacteroidales small SRP". Rfam says of the family: The non-coding component of the signal recognition particle in Bacteroides The record is from RNAcentral. Lineage: Bacteria; Pseudomonadati; Bacteroidota; Bacteroidia; Bacteroidales.